GAGACAGUUUAGAGUGAAGUUUACUGUAUACCCACAAGCUACAAACAGUGUAGAUAUCUGCCAUGUGAGUUUCCCCACACUGUCCUCUUAAUGACCUCAAGUCUGAUCUUGAAAGCCCUCACAAAGGUGAAGGAGAAAUUUAGUUCAACUCAUCCAUGGGCAUUUCCU
Unclassified non-coding RNA from Chelonoidis abingdonii (Abingdon island giant tortoise), 168 nucleotides. NCBI's taxonomy places the organism in Eukaryota, Metazoa, Chordata, Testudines, Testudinidae. The record is from Ensembl.